GAUGAAGAACGCAGCGAAAUGCGAUAAGUAAUGUGAAUUGCAGAAUUCAGUGAAUCAUCGAGUUUUUGAACGCACAUUGCGCCCCUUGGUAUUCCGAGGGGCACACCUGUUCGAGCGUCAUUCAGACCAUCAAGCUCCGCUUGGUAUUGGGCCACCCGUCGCUCCGGCGGCGGCGGCCUUGAAGACGUCGGCGGUUCGACCCGACCCAACGCGUGACGACCUCAUGGCGGACGGGCGGGAUGAGCUUGCUCAAUCACCCUUUUUAUUUUUCAAGGUUGACCUCGGAUCAGGUGGGGAUACCCGCUGAACUUAAGCAUAUCAAUAAGCGGAGGA
RNAcentral lists this unclassified non-coding RNA (333 nucleotides) under soil metagenome. Its description in RNAcentral is "partial contains 5.8S ribosomal RNA, internal transcribed spacer 2, and large subunit ribosomal RNA". The stretch from base 1 to 120 matches the Rfam family "5.8S ribosomal RNA", at positions 35 to 154 of the family's 154-position model. The record is from RNAcentral.